RNAcentral lists this ribosomal RNA (465 nucleotides) under Vreelandella stevensii. Its description in RNAcentral is "partial 16S ribosomal RNA". It matches the Rfam family "Bacterial small subunit ribosomal RNA", at positions 338 to 795 of the family's 1533-position model. The record is from RNAcentral. Lineage: Bacteria; Pseudomonadati; Pseudomonadota; Gammaproteobacteria; Oceanospirillales; Halomonadaceae.
CCUACGGGAGUCUGCAGUGGGGAAUAUUGGACAAUGGGGGGAACCCUGAUCCAGCCAUGCCGCGUGUGUGAAGAAGGCCCUCGGGUUGUAAAGCACUUUCAGUGAGGAAGAACGCCUGGUGGUUAAUACCCAUCAGGAAAGACAUCACUCACAGAAGAAGCACCGGCUAACUCCGUGCCAGCAGCCGCGGUAAUACGGAGGGUGCGAGCGUUAAUCGGAAUUACUGGGCGUAAAGCGCGCGUAGGUGGCUUGAUAAGCCGGUUGUGAAAGCCCCGGGCUCAACCUGGGAACGGCAUCCGGAACUGUCAAGCUAGAGUGCAGGAGAGGAAGGUAGAAUUCCCGGUGUAGCGGUGAAAUGCGUAGAGAUCGGGAGGAAUACCAGUGGCGAAGGCGGCCUUCUGGACUGACACUGACACUGAGGUGCGAAAGCGUGGGUAGCAAACAGGAUUAGAUACCCGGGUAGUC